This is a long non-coding RNA of Pocillopora verrucosa, 1438 nucleotides long. RefSeq lists it as uncharacterized. The record is from RefSeq and is a predicted model, not a curated record. NCBI's taxonomy places the organism in Eukaryota, Metazoa, Cnidaria, Anthozoa, Scleractinia, Pocilloporidae.
GUAGGGUAAAUAAAAAUUGUCAUGUUUUCUUUAAAAAUGUCACCUGAAUUGCAAAUCAUGUUAUUGGAAUAGUCCACUAUAUUGCAAUCACCAACAAUUUCCUAAAACCUCAUGACUCAGAGACUCAUUUGCAGUACUCCUUCAUUUUCCUUUUAGCCUGUAAGAUUCAGGCACAGCUUAACCCCUCCAAAAGAAACUUGUUCCCAGAGAGGUUCCUCAGUGUGUUACAAACCACCUCAUCCCAGAAGUUUCUCACUUAUUUUUCUUCCAAGUUGGCAGUGAGACUGACAAAUUGACACCAAAAUGGCUCUGACAUGAACGCAGGGACAGGAGCCGCACCCAUCAGUACUUGCAGCACCAUAAGAAACAUACUUCAGCCGGCAGUGCUGCUCUCGAUAAAAAGGCAGCCCACGAGACAUUUACAGGGACCACAUUGGCUGUGCUAUUACCUGCACCACCUAAGUCACAUUCUUGUUGCAUAGUAAUCAGAAGAAGAGCCCCCAAAAUUCCCAAUUACUCGCUACCAUAACUUGUGAAAGGAUUCCAAGGUCAGUCACAUGGAUCUGGUUUAUGAUAAGAUGAAACAUCCUAAGACAAUCAAUUGGAAUACACCACCACAUUCUACCACGCUCAGUAAACGUCAGUGGUAUCCUGAAAACCUGACUACAGGUGACUUGACCUGCGCUCCCGUAAAAAAAAGUCAUCCCCAUUUCUAUAGGAUUUAGUAACAUGGGUUACUGUUCCUCCUCCCGGAUGGAAUGCCACGAGAAACUUAUCAGGUUCCUUCAAAGCAUCUCUUUUCAUUUUCCGGAAUGAUCAGCAGAGGAGAAAGGAGGGACUAUGAGUAUGGAAUGUCUCAAGCCAGCGCAUGGCUCAGAUGUCUGCCUCUUUGUUUACCUCUGUUCAACGAUGAGAACAAUGCGUGCCUUGUCAGAGACCUAAACGCGUUUACCAUCCGCACUUCCUAAGCACACGUGCGUGGCACAAGAAAAGAGUCAACAAACAAUCAAAGUAUACAGGUCAUGUGUGCACACUGGACGUCUACAUUCCCUGAAUGGAGUUUUCUUUUAAGAUGUAGCACUUGAGAAAGGAAUGACAUAAUAAUUUCUGACAAAGAGAAAUAGCGGAACAAUUGCAAAAUAAGAGAUGUUGUCAGUGCUGUGCGAAAAGGAAUUGGAAUAUUUUAACUUUCUCCUUUGUCUUUUGUUAAUGGGGAGAUCACUAGGAUUGAUUAUUUUCAUGUAUGACCGAGGUGCAUUUUCUUAAGAUGUAAAGAAAAUAAUCACGUUCUCUAUUUAUGUAGUGUUUAUAUGCGAGGUAACUUUUGUUGCGUAACAGUGAGAAUAAAUGAAGCAUCGACAAUUAGCAUCCUGCUAAAUUAAAUCUGGUGUGUGAACAAUAAAUGAUUUUCACCUGUCCACAUUUCAAGUGGCCAUUU